This 74-nucleotide transfer RNA is filed under the name Cyanobacteriota bacterium. RNAcentral describes it as "tRNA-Arg". It matches the Rfam family "tRNA". From Rfam's summary of the family: Transfer RNA (tRNA) molecules are approximately 80 nucleotides in length. The record is from RNAcentral. RNAcentral also lists the same sequence under 2 other names. Lineage: Bacteria; Bacillati; Cyanobacteriota.
GGGGCUGUAGCUCAGUUGGAUAGAGCGGUCGCCUCCUAAGCGACAGGUCGAGGGUUCGAGUCCCGCCAGUCCCG